AAUAUUGCCGCUCGCAGGCACAAGUAAAACAACAGACAACAACAACAACAACAACUACCCAGUGUAUUCCCACCAGGUGGGGUUUGGGGAGGGUAAUAUGUAGACGAGCCUUACCCCUACCCGACAGGGCAGGGAGGCUGUUUCCAAUCGNNNNNNNNNNNNNNNNNNNNNNNNNNNNNNNNNNNNNNNNNNNNNNNNNNNNNNNNNNCCCGACAGGGCAGGGAGGCUGUUUCCAAUCGACCCUCGGCUCAUAGGGUUAGGUGAAAAACAGUAGUAAAACAAACAGAAACAAAACAAAACAGAAACAAUAUAUCAUUAGUGCAUUAAGAAAUUCCAGCAUAAAUAGCGUUAGAAAUAAUCUGAACAAAAGAAACAAAAUACCAAAAUACAAUAACAAGUAAUUGUAUCGUACAUUAAACACAUAUCAUCUAUGAAUAACCCUGCUACCCCACCCCCAACUCCGGGAGGAGCGGACGAGGAACUCUAGGUGCCCCUAUCCUACAACCCUGAUACUGGACCUCCAGGCUUUCCUAUCAAGGGUCAUGUCCUCUGAAACCUGCAUUCUAGCCAUAUCCUGCCUAAUCACCUCUCCCCAAUACUUCUUGGGCCUCCCUCUGCCGCGCCGACCGCUAGCAAUCACCAGCCAUUCGCAGCUCCUCACCGGUGCAUCGGAACUUCUCCUCCGCACAUGCCCGAACCACCUCAGCCAUGCUUCGCGCAUCUUCUCGUCCACCGGGGCCACCCCCACCUUCUCCCGAAUAAUUUCAUUCCUAAUUUUAUCUAGCCUGGUACGCCCGCACAUCCACCUAAGCAUCCUCAUCUCCGCGACCCUCAUCCUCUGAACAUGGGAAUUCUUUACGGGCCAGCACUCCGCCUCAUACAGCAUCGCAGGUCUAACCACGGCUCUAUAGAAUUUCCCCUUGAGUUUGUGUGGAACUUUCCUGUCACAUAUGACUCCUGAUGCAAGCCUCCACUUAGCCCACCCUGCUCCUAUACGAUGCGUGACGUCCCCGUCAAAUUUUGUCUUUACUUAACAUCUCAAAUUUCAUCUACUGAAGCAUAUACCACUUAUAAGAUAAUACUUUCAUAGGGGACUUUAGCGCAAUCUCAAGUGAAAUGAUACCAAACCAAGUAUUCAAACAAAAUAGAGCAAACAAACUCGAAGAAUAAGUAGUAACCAAAUAACUAAGCAGAACAAGUUAAAUAAUUCCAAACGAAGUAAACUAAUUAUAAAUUCAAGCACUUACAUAUAAUCUGGAACGCAUUCGAACUUUUACAAUCGCAACAAUUCCUAAAACGCUGGCCAGAUGACAUCCUCGAUCAGCAGGACCAAGCUUCACCGGUAACCUCAGUGUAAUUGCGAUCGGACCUCGAAACUGGCCAGAUCUCUCGUGUAAUAAGAUCUCGCUGUGGUGAGAAUGGUUGCUGAUUUCAGUUAAACGAAGAGGAAUCAGCGCUAGAAGGGUGAUCGUUUGUUCUCUACUAUGUUUGCUUCUUCCAGCGAUUUCAAGGGGUUCAAAAUGUGGGUCAAAAGGAGGGAGCUUCAGGCGGGGUCGUCUUUGUUGCUGUAUAUGAUUAUGGUCGAUAAAAGAGCAGGGGUCGUUUGGAGGAGACGACACACAGGCAGGGGUAACGCCGACAAGAAGGGCUUCGAUGGGUUCUUCAGCAAGGAAUGAUCUUCAUGGAUCCUUUCUCGAAAAAACUGCACCGCCUUUUCGAUUUCCAGGCGUGUCUCCGCGUAGAUUGUGUGUACUGUGUGUAUUGUCUGUAUAUGUGUGUUUCUUCAAGACCACAAAGCCGCCUGCCUUGCUGAAGAAAAAUUUCAGGCAUCUAUAUUGUAUAGAUUGUGUGUAUUGUUCAGAAGAAUAGCAAAGUUGCGCCCCUUCAAUUUCCAGCCUCUAUCGUUUAUCUAUGUAUUUUGUUUUUGUAUUUUUCAGAAGAAGCAGCCCCAGUUGCGCCCUUCAAUUUUUCUGCCCUCU
This 1979-nucleotide long non-coding RNA is filed under the name Nicotiana benthamiana. RNAcentral describes it as "long non-coding RNA (NBEN_LNC038789)". Lineage: Eukaryota; Viridiplantae; Streptophyta; Magnoliopsida; Solanales; Solanaceae. The record is from RNAcentral.